This 73-nucleotide transfer RNA is filed under the name Bos taurus (domestic cattle). It matches the Rfam family "tRNA". From Rfam's summary of the family: Transfer RNA (tRNA) molecules are approximately 80 nucleotides in length. Their secondary structure includes four short double-helical elements and three loops (D, anti-codon, and T loops). The record is from Rfam by way of RNAcentral. RNAcentral also lists the same sequence under 2 other names. Lineage: Eukaryota; Metazoa; Chordata; Mammalia; Artiodactyla; Bovidae.
UCCCUCAUGGUCUAGUGGCUAAGACUCUGUUCUUCCAAUUCAGGGGGCCCGGGUUUGAUCCCUGGUCAAGGAA